CUACACCACUCUCUUUGAGCCCAUUGUUAUUGAUGAUGAUGAUGAUGAGAUUGAAUAUUUUACAGAAGACAAAAAGCAGGACCUGCCCCCAGAAGAACAUUUACAAACAAACGUGCAGCCACAUGAUAUUAUUGCAGAACUGGCCAAGAAUAUUGACCACAAGAAAGUCAGCCGGUUCAACAUAUGUCGUACUGAUGUGUGGGAUGGAGCUGAGCUGUUCGGGGCUUUCAGAGGAGCACAUACUCCGACAAGAAUGACAUGUUCAUCAAAUUUAACGAUGAUGCUGGCUGUUUGGAGGAAGGGUUGGACACAGGUGGCCCGAGGCGUGAGUUUCUCACACUUCUUAUGGCCAUUCUGAGAAAUCGUCCUAUCUUUGAUGGACCCCCAGAAGCUCGUUACGUUGGGUGCAAUUCGAGAGGUGAGUCAUUUUUGGGUUAGUGAACCUAACUAACCUUAGUUAGUGAAGUGGUAGUACUUCUAAAAUAAAAAUUUGCAGAAACAUGUGCUUAUGUGUCUGUCAUAAGCAGAUCUAAGAUUUAAUUACCCACAGUAAUAAUUUGCUCUGUACAACAGCUGCCAGGGAAGAUGAGUAUUUUUUAGCAGGAAAGAUGAUUGCUGUAUCGAUUGUACAUGGGGGACCGGCACCACAUUUUCUCUCAAAGAACCUGGUCAACUACAUGAUAGGGAAUCCAAGUUUCAGCGCCACUGUUGAAGAUGUUCAAGAUGAGGAGAUAGGGAAAGUUCUAAAGCAGGUAGGAAAUGACCUAGGUUUAGGAAAUAGAUUUAUUGUAUGCCAACUGGAGAUUAUUUUCACGUUCAGAUUAAGAUUAGGAAAUUAUUAUAACAAAAUAGUAAUUUCGUUUUCUCAAAGCUUGACAAAUCUUUUUGUUUUGAAAGGCCUGAUUUCAGCCUAUCUCAAGAAAUGUGAAAUCACAAAUGCACAAAAUGUUUAUGCUAUUUUUGUAUUCAUAACGAAGAAGUUGUCAAAUUGAUAGUUCUGUACUUCUUCUUAUAAUAAACUGCUUGUUUUAUAGGUCCUGGAAGCUGAAUCAGAUGAAUCUCUGCUAAAUAUAAUUUUUCAAAACAGCGGGAUGUUCCAAACUGCUGGUUGCUUCAGAAGUGUGAAGAUUUCUGAGAAGAAAACUUUUGUAGAGGAGUAUCUCAGAUGGUACAUCCUUGACAGAAACCACAGUGCCAUUCAACGAUUCAAAGAUGGACUGGCAAGUCUGGGGUUUUUCGCUGCACUGCAACAGCAUUCCAGUGUCCUGUCCCCAGUCCUAUGUUUCUCUGCCAAGGCCCUGACUGCUUCAGACUUGGAGACCAUGUUCAAACCAGAUCUCAGCCCAGUAGGAACCAAUAGGCGGCAAAAGGAGGGCAAAACUAUCGUCUUCUGGGCAGAUUAUUUGCUUGAUUGCGAAGAGAAAAACACUGCUGUAUGUCUAGAGGAAGUCCUGAUGUUUGCUACAGGUCUGACAGCGAUUCCACCAGCAGGCAUGAUGCCAUCCCCACAUCUUGAGUUUUUGAGUGAUUCACCCUUUCCUGUUGCAAACACCUGUGCAAAUACACUGAAACUGCCACUUUUGGAAUCUUACGCUGCUUUUAGGGCUAACAUGGACUUUGGAAUACAAAAUGCUCCGGGAUUCGGAUGCUACUGAAACUGAAAGAAGAGAUUUCUUGGCAGUCUUGUUCUAAUGCUGUUGGCAUUCAGCUAAUUUUGUGAUGGUUGCUCCAUGGGUCCAUGUUGUUCUCCAUUUCUGGGUGGCAAAGCCUUGCCAUAAUUUCUGAAAAGAUUAGAUAAUAUGAUGUCCUUUUCAAAGUGAUAGCUUUGAAAGGGACAUCAGCUCAUGAAGACAACAAUCCGUUAGGGCAAAUUCUGUAUUUUUUUUUAGAGUGGUGUAUGUCUGGUUUAGGCUCACGGUCCGGGCAUUUCUAAUAUGUCCAUAAUAUAGUUUUUUGUAUCAUCUUAAAAGGGGAUACACUCGGCUUUCAUUUAAGCCAAGUUUUGAAUCUGACCAACUCAGGUCACCAGAGCUUGUUAAAACAAAAUAACAUGAAUCCUUUUCGCCUAACCAAGAAACAUUGUUUGUAAUCCAAUGGUAUCCAGGGACACAAGAGUUGACAACUGAAAUACUCAGACUAAGAAAUCCUGAAAUGUACCAAAUCUAUACUACCAUGCAGUCAUGUUUUUAUGUGGUUAUUAUGGAUUACAUAAUGGUGGACUAAUCUAAAAAACAGUAUAUGGUAUACAUUUCCAGAUUUCUUAGUCUGAGUAUUUCAGUUGUCAACUCUUGUGUCCCUGAUGUCCCUGGAUACCACUGGACUAAAAACAAUGUUUCUUGGUAAGGCAAAAAGAGUUUGUGUUAUUUCUGUUUAACAAGCUGUGGUGACCUCCGAGUUGGUCAGAUUCGAAGCUUGGCUUAAAUGAAAGCCGAGUGUAUUCCCUUUUAAAAUGAUACAAAAUUUUAUAUUGUAGAGCUUUGACAAAUGCCCGUAUCGUGAGCCUAAACCAGACAUACACCAGUCUCAAAUAACAGAAUUUGCCCAAAGGGAUUGUUGACUUCAUGAGCUGAUAACUAUGAAUAAACUGCCACUUUAGAAGGGCUAU
Xiphophorus hellerii (green swordtail) is the source of this 2605-nucleotide RNA transcript. It is a transcript of the gene named G2/M phase-specific E3 ubiquitin-protein ligase-like, with no coding region annotated. The record is from RefSeq and is a predicted model, not a curated record. NCBI's taxonomy places the organism in Eukaryota, Metazoa, Chordata, Actinopteri, Cyprinodontiformes, Poeciliidae. The transcript has 4 exons.